This 8101-nucleotide long non-coding RNA is filed under the name Homo sapiens (human). RNAcentral describes it as "HSALNT0022522". Lineage: Eukaryota; Metazoa; Chordata; Mammalia; Primates; Hominidae. The record is from RNAcentral.
GAAGGCUUUGGGUGCUGAGAUGUGCAGUUGUAACGUGUAGCAUGGAGACCAUUUUAGUGAUCUAGCUGGCUCUUCUUAAAUUAUGGGAGUCCUGGCCGUACAUGUAGGUGAGGACGCCACCUUUCCCACCUACGUGAGAAGGGAACUCCAGUACCAUUGUGGGAGGAAGAUUCACACAGACGGAAGUUAAUGAAUAAUGUGAAGAAAUGUCACACAUGUCCAGUGAGAAGAAAUGAUGUGUGCUACAGGACUUCAACUGAGGAAGGGAUGCCUGCGUGGUCAGAGGAGGCUCAUGGAAAAGCUAAACAGAACAACCUCUAAUUUUCCUGCACAGCCCUGCCCUUCAGAGGUUUUUUUUUUUUUUUUUUUUUUUUUUUUUUGACAAAGACUUGCUCUGUUGCCCAGCCUGGAGUGCAGUGGCAGGAUCUCAGUUUACUGCAAUCUCUGCCUCCCAGGUUCAAGCAAUUCUCAUGCCUCAGCCUCCUGAGUAGCUGGGACUACAAGUGUGCACCACCAUGCCUGCCUAAUUUUUGUAUUUUUAGUAGAGACAGGAUUUUGCCAUGUUGGCCAGGCUGGUCUCAAACUCCUGACCUCAAGUGAACUGCUUGCUUUGGCCUCCCAAAGUGCUAGGAUUACAGGCGUGAGCCACCAUGCCUGGCCUCUUCAGCGUUCUAAAGGCUGUUGUGCUGCUCCUCUCAGCCUUCUACUUUCCUUGAUGAUGAUCCCCUUUCCUUUUGCUCAAGUCACAGCCCUCCGGUACCUGCAGUGUGCUCGGUGUUCUCUGGGUGAGUUCCAGUUCAUCACUCUCUCUCUUACAAAGAUGCACUCAAAACUCAACAGGCUUCCAUCCCUGGGUGGUCUGACAGGACCUGGGCAGCAAAACUGCACUGCUGUCUGGGUCAUAUACUAAACUCUUCAGCGAUGCUAUCCAAGAUUGCAUUUGCGUUUUGACAACUUUAAAGGCUGCAGUUAUAAGUAGCAAGAAGAUUUAGAGCUCUUCAGGGUCUGCUAGAACAUUGCCCUGACUCUUUCCCAGAUGUCUACAGAGAUUUUUGGGCUCCCUUUCCUCAAGGUUUCCUCGCUCAGGCAGCUUGGAGCUGCAUAUCAACCGAAUAUCGCACGUGUCAGAGCCAGCUCUCUUCCUUCAUGGACUUGUGUAUGUCAGCCUGGGUUGUAGAACUAAAAUAUAUACCAGGAAUAGUCUACAGUGAUGAUAAUGAAAUCACUGGGAGCUUUUAAAGCUAUGCAAGCUGACCUGGAUGAUUCUGAUAGGCCUCUUAGAAUCUGGGCAUAUAUAGUUUGUACAAGCUCCCCAGGUAACUUACUAAGCUAUUGUCCCCACCUUGAGAUUCACUGCUCUGCAGCUUCUGUUUGUUGAAAUAGGAGCUUUCCUACCUAGGUACUAAAAAUCCACCUGCAGAUGGACCAGAUGUUGUUAUAAAUCCCCUGAAGCAUCUGAAUCUUUGCAAUGGCUCUAAAGCCUCGGCUCUUUCCAAGGACAAGUGGCAUUGCCAGUCCUCCAAUCUCUGUGAUUUAUAUUUGCUUCUCCCCUUUUAUUAGCCCCCUUCCUGGCAAAAAACGCCACCUUUUGCCAGAUGCCUGGAGCCUGGGUGGGCUGCCUGGCAAUGCAGGCCUUUCUGUCUCCCCCAUCAACCCCAUUCAGGUCCAUCCCAGGAGGGGAAUCUCUCACUUUUCAAAGAAUAAAUCUGUCAAAGAGGCAACAUUUCCAGAGCAGUAAAUCUUGGCUGUGUGUGGCAGCAUGGCUGUGUGCAUAUAGCUGAAAUCUGUGCCCUGUGUGUAUAUCUGUGUGUCUGAGAGAAGAGAGCCAUGCUGAUAGCAUUACAGGAGAGGGCCUUUUAAUUUCAAAAGAGUCAAGAUCACAAGAGGGAAGAACAUGCUCAGGGAAGCAAGUGGGGCACCAAACUGCUGGGAGAAAUGGGCUAGAGCUGAAGGAAGAGGCAUGCUGGGCAGAAAGUGUUCCCACAGUUUGGUUUGCUGCCCAGGACUAGCAGAGAGAAGGAGAUGAUGCAUAAGAGUACAAUUCCACAGUAGCCACAGACCGUCAGAAGGAGGCCCCCCCGCUUCCUUGGUAAGGUCUCUCUGAUGCUUUUUGGGGUGGUGGAAGAGACUCCUGGCCUCCUCUCACCAUUCAGCAACUGGGUUUUGUUUUCUUAAACACAACAUUAUAUUUCCUCUAUCCUGUCCAGAAGAAAUGGCCAGAAGAGAGCCCUGGAGAAGAAUCUCAAUCGAGUUUAACUCUCCAAAGAGUUUCCUGAAAAGUUGUGAAUGAAAAUAAAACCCUUUCAACCAACAAACAGUGAAUUCACUAACCAACCCCAAACAGAAACCAGAUUCGUGGAGAUGGUAAAAUCUCUGGGCUGAAAUCUAGCUUAUUGGCUCUAGUUCUGGGAGGUGUGAAUGGGAUUGGGAGAUGGGGAGUGGCAGAGGUUGGUUGGAGGAUGAAGCUAAUUAUGACAGAGGGUCUCUCAUAGGACCACAGCAUUGCUAAUACGUGAGGACCACCCUUGAUCUUUCAUGAUUGGGGAUAGAGGAACAGAGUGUAUAGCUAAAAUCCACGAAGUCCUUCAUCUUUAUUGUAGCCAUUUUCCCUCUAAAUUACUUAAGGAGAAAUAAAAAAUCAAUAUGGUGAAAUAAUCUCCAUAGAAAUCAUGGGUCUGGGUGUUUAGUCAGGUCUGGGGAGAUAUCAAGGCAGUAUUAAUGUACAUAGUCUGAAAAAGAGUCUGUCUUCUUUUAAUGAUGAGUGGAAUAUUACUGCUAGAUUGAGGGUUAGGGGGAGGUGGGUGGAAAGAAGGACAGAGGGCUCACAGGAGGGAAGAAUAAGGAUUCAUUGUGGGGUUGAUUACGAUGGAGAAAAUAUGGUUCAGAGAUAGAAUGAAAGCACAAAAGGGAAGCAGGGCAUGCUGCCGGAGCUGGGAAGAGGCAGACAGGCCCUAACUGGGUGUGUCCAGUGACAGAGAAUCCCAUCUAGGUCAGCCAGGUAGGCCACUGCCUGUGCCAAGGAUUUUAACUUGGAGGCAAAGGUGAGUAGAAUUCAGGGUCUGAAGCAAAAGUCCUCACUUCUCCAGGGACAGAAGAAGCGGGCACAGGGAGAAGUGGUGAAUGAGGUGGACUGUGACUCCCCAAAACUACAACUUGGAGGAGAACUCGUGGGCUGGAAAAGAGGUGACACAGGAAACUCCUGAAAGAGUUUGUUUAAUGCUUUAAACCUGUACUAUGUUGGUUAAGUCAUGUGAUAUCAUAGGUAUUAUGACUUCGUCUCACUUGAACAGAAUUUUUGCCCUAGAUUCUGAGCAUGUCAUGCUGAGAAUGCACAUAGAGAAAGCUAUGAGAGAUCUCACUUCAAGCACAUUAUCUAUGAAAGUGCAUCAACACUCAAACUUCCUUAGCACCUCUAUCCCCUUUUGAUCUUUGGGUGAUGGUAAAAUGGUGUCCAAGGUAAGCCUCAUCUUUUAUUUCAACUAAAGCAUUUUCAAAGCUGGCAUGACAUUGCUAGAUUUGGUGGUAUGAGCCUCAUCUCGCAUUACUUCUUUUCUUUUCACAUAGAAAAAGUGCUAGUGAACAUAAAUAUAGUCAACACCCAGUAUGCUCACUUAUUGAAACACCGUGUAAGUGCCAGGCACUGCAUUAGGCUAGUGUGGACAGAGUAGAGAUGCGUGAGACAAACAUAUAAAGACAGCAAACAAUGCCAGGCAGGCCCCAAAAUGGCCGAAGUUGGCUGGGUUAAUCCUAAAUUAAACAAAACUUUAUUAACGACAUCAUAAACAGGAAAGUUACUACUUAGCUCCGUGCAAUUAUGGCCCCAUGAGAAGGCAGGACCAAUUAUUCAAGAGAAACUGGAAUAGUGUCCAGUUGAAAAUCACCUCAGGGUUCAUUCACUCAUUUAGCAAGUAGUUACCAAACGCUUACCAUAUGCCAGUCCUUGGGGUACAGUGGUCAACAAGACACAUUAGGUCCCUGUCUUCCUGGAACUCAGUAUUUCCAGAUGGGGAUAGUGCUGUGAAGGAAAUGAAACAGGGUGAGGCAAGCGGGCAUGUGUAGGGUGGCCUCUCUGGAGGGGUGUGUGACAUGCUUGAUGAGAAGAAGCCUAUUGUAUGCAGAUCUGGAGGAAACAACAUUUUAGGCAGGGGGAAAAGAAACGUUGGUGGGGUGGGUGGUGGACAAGAAAGCAGGGUGGGAAAUUCAAGUGGGUGUUGGAGUUCAAAAAGACAUCUGUCAUAUGUGACAACAUGGACGAACCUGGAGGACACUACGGUAAGUGAAAUAAGCCAAGCACAGGAAGACAAAUACCACCUGAUCUAACUUAUAUGUGGAAUCUAAAAAAGUUGAACUCACAGAAGUAAAGAGUAGAAAGGUGGUUACUAGAGGCUUGGGGGAUGGGAUGGGAGAGUUGGUCAAAGGAUACACAUUUUCAGUUAGGAGGAAUAAGCUUUGAUGAUUCAUUACACAGGUGGUGACUAUCGUAAAUAAUAAUGCAUUCUAUAUCUCAAAAUUUAAAUGUCUUGGCCACAAAAAAAUGGUAUGCGAGGAGGUGGAUUUGUUAAUUAGCCUGCUUUACUCAUUCCACAUUACAAACAUAUAUCAUAACAUCAUAUGGUUCCCCAUAAUUAUUAGUGCUGAAUUAAAAGUUAAAAUUUGGAAAAAAGUCACCUUCUGUCCACCAUUCCUAUCAUGAUUUUAAGGUAUUUCUGGUCUUCUUCAAGUGUCUCCUGGAGGCUAAAGGUGUACAUGGUAUUUUCCCAUUGCAAUGCAGCAGCGCAGCAGAAGGGGGAGCUGACACAAGCCUUCCCAGGUCUGAACCAACUUCUCUCAAGCGUGUGAAGCCUUUCUUUAUGUAGCCAGUCUCCACCCAGGGCUCAGUAGGCUUAGGGAAAUGGGAGGCGGAAGGGCACCUCACAGUGUACUCAACCCUUCUGAAUUGGAUUUUGUGAGCUGUGUAUGUCAGGUUCCGAUGUGAGGCCUGGCGCUGUGGAGGUUCCAAUGGCCGCCAUGUUGUCUCAGAGGGACACACCACAGGCUUCUGGAACUCUGGCUCCAUUUUGUGGGUGCAAGUUUCUGGCUUCCGUUUUAAAGAGGUAAGUUUUCCUCUGAUGCAUAUUAUUUAUAUGGAUUCCAGAUCACCACCCAGUUUGAAAGCAUAUGCAGUUGGUUGGCGUGUGGGAAAAGCAGCUUGGGAGAGGUCACUCAGUGCAGCCAAAGGGUGUAAAAAAUCACCUCACACAGCACAGGUCCCUAUCCAGGGCCACAAAUCAAGCCCAGGCUCUCCCCUGCCUGGGGGCCCAGGUGGGUUCUCCAGGCCUGUCAUCCUCAAUCAGGCUGUCUCUAUCAGAGAGCUAGGUCAAACUCAGUUUCUUUAAAAAAAAUGAUUAUAGAAACCAUAUGUGUGUGCAAAGACAUGUUGCUUUUCCCCACCUCAUGGCUGGUAAAAUUUGUUGCCCUCCCACCCCCCUUUUUUUGGAGCUUUUCCGAAUUGGAAACAGUGUGAUGCUCAGUGCAGGGAGAAGAUUACUUUUCAUGCAGUUUAAGUCCAGCAAAAAGGGGGAUUCAUUGCACGAAUGAAUCAUGAAUUUUUACAACAGUCCCUUUUAAACUGAUGGUAUUUAGAGACCUAUUGGUCACUGUAAUGAGCCAGGCAGUUUCAGAAUAUAAAACAGCCCUAGAGGUUUCAUGGCCCAAACAAAGAGGAAUGUCUUAACGUUUUUACCAAGUUCAUUUUCUUUCCCAUUGGUAACAUUGUAAAUCUGAGCUUGCGAGGCCUCAGGUUCAAAACCAGCCGUCUUAACUUUUGUUGAUUGAAACCUAAAUAACAGAGAGAUUCCCUUUUCCCCUAACUUCUUGUCUGGGCUUUUGGGAGGCAAUAUCUAUGUCCAUACUCUUAUUCUUGCUGUUACGAUCCUUAAAAGCAUGAUGUGAAAGAUCUUACCUGCUUCAGCAUCUAGGACUGAGGGGGAAGUGUAGACUUCCUACUUCUCACUGGCUGUUUCAUAAACAAGCAACAUGAGCUUCACUUUAUAUUAAAGCUUUUUCUUAACGGUCCAAAAGGUCAGACUUAGAAUUCUAUAAGCUAGAAUGGCAUUUUAGAACCUUGUUUUUAACAGAGAUCAGCCACUAGUAAAAUAAAACACAUGCUAUACACCAGUGGUUCUCAACGUGUGGUCCCCUGAGCACCAGCAUCAGAGGCAUCUGAGAACUUGUUAGCAGAACAAAUUCUCAGGCCCCACCCAAACCUACUGAAUCAGUGACUCUGGGGGUUGCACUCAGCAAUCUGGUUUCAACAAGUUCUCUGGGUGAUACUGAUGUAUGCAAAAGUUUGAGAACCACUGCUAUAUACCAGUAACAUUCAAUGUUAAGUAAUAUGUUAAACUUUAUUUUUAACAUAUUAAUUGAAUAUAUAGAAAAAAAUCACAUUUUUUCCCAUAUGUUAGUGUACUACUCCAAUCCCUAGCUUUGAUGGUAGGCCAGAUUUCUUCCUUGACAUGGUAAAAAACAAAACAAAACCCCCCCCAAAAAAACCUGGACAGAGGAGAUGGGGGAAGCACUAUACUCUGCAGUUAAAUAGUAUCUCUACAGACGUGUUCCCUACCCUUUCUCCUGGCUUUGAGGGAUCUCUUUUGGCUGAGGGUGGUGGGGCAGGAGAUUUGUCUAACUUCCUCUUCAUCAUUUUCUCUCCAUGAAUACCUCAACUCUUCCCUUAAAAUACAGCAAGAGAACCUAUCAGCGUUGUCAAUUCUAAGAAAGUGAGUGCCAAGAGCAGGUAGGUAUGUUUAAGGCAUAAAGUUUCUUACUGAUAAUUCCAUUCUUUUUAAAUUUAAAAUAAAAAAAUAGAUUUGUAUCAAGAAAUGAAUUAGUAUAAUUUGAAUCUUCACUAAUAGUAUAUAUUAUUUUUGAAAUGCAGAAAAUUUGUUGUUGAAAUUAAACAGCCUCUGACAAUUGAACAGUUAAUGAUUGCAUCAUAUUAAUCAUGAGGGGUGAGGACAGAAUUAUCAGGGUUUUGCCAGGGGCACUGGAUUCUGAACCUUUUUAAAUUAAAAAAACAAAGUACUACACAUGUAUAUAAUUAAUAUUGAAACAUCUGUAAUACAAAGCUGCAUAUAUUUGGUAGACAUCAUAUGUUUGAAAUCCAUCAUUAAUUUCUUCUCUUCUGGUAGCAGUUCUCCACAUUUCCUAUAGGAAAAUGCCCCUCAUCCAUUCCAAACCAUGCAGUUUCAUUUGGGUGGCUCCAUCCUUGGCUCCAGGGCUAUACCUGAUUGGCUUAAGUAAACAGGCAGCUUGCCAUCUCCCAGCCAUAGUGACUGGUUAAGGGAUGGUGAUGUAAUCCAUUUAGAGCCAAUGGGAAUCAGGGUGACAUUUGCUGGAAAUUCUGGGGAAAUGACCUUGUCUCUCUUCCUCUGAAUUGAGUCGUAGAAGAUGUAAGCUUGGUGCCCCUGUGGUCCUGCCAUAGUGAGGCAAGCCCAGUGAGGAAGGGUCUGGAAAAACAGAGCCAGAAAUGUAGAAAAACUGGGCCCACAAUGCUUAGAUCAAACAUGGCAGAAGCCAGCCAUAUUCUUGGAUUUUGAGAUCCAUGAGCCAACACAUCCCUUUUUCCUGUUUUAGCCAGUUUUUUGUGUGUUGGUUUGUUUUGUUUUUGGUCACUGGCAACUCAAGGAAUCCUCAAAGUCAGAGAUCUUAUUGCCAAAAUCAUGAUGAAUAAGAUUUAGCCUAUACUUAGAUGAUUCAGAAGGCCCUUUGGGAACUUGGAAGUGUCAUUGCUUGUAUUAACAAUAUUUUCUUAAUAAGCAACUUCAGCAAAGUCUCAGGAUACAAAAUCAAUGUGCAAAAAUCACAAGCAUUCUUAUACACCAGUAACAGAGAGCCAAAUCAUGAGUGAACUCCCAUUCACAAUUGCUUCAAAAAGAAUAAAAUACCUAGGAGUCCAACUUACAAGGGAUGUGAAGGACCUCUUCAAGGAGAACUACAAACCACUGCUCAGCGAAAUAAAAGAGGAUACAAACAAAUGGAAGAACAUUCCAUGUUCAUGGAUAGGAAGAAUCAAUAUUGUGAAAAUGGCCAUACUGCCCAAGGUAAUUUAUAGAUUCAAUGCCAU